This 468-nucleotide ribosomal RNA is filed under the name uncultured bacterium. RNAcentral describes it as "partial 16S ribosomal RNA". It matches the Rfam family "Bacterial small subunit ribosomal RNA", at positions 28 to 507 of the family's 1533-position model. The record is from RNAcentral.
GACGAACGCUGGCGGCGUGCUUAACACAUGCAAGUCGAACGGAAAGGCCCUGCUUUUGUGGGGUGCUCGAGUGGCGAACGGGUGAGUAACACGUGAGUAACCUGCCCUUGACUUUGGGAUAACUUCAGGAAACUGGGGCUAAUACCGGAUAGGAGCUCCUGCUGCAUGGUGGGGGUUGGAAAGUUUCGGCGGUUGGGGAUGGACUCGCGGCUUAUCAGCUUGUUGGUGGGGUAGUGGCUUACCAAGGCUUUGACGGGUAGCCGGCCUGAGAGGGUGACCGGCCACAUUGGGACUGAGAUAAGGCCCAGCCUCCUACGGGAGGCAGCAGUGGGGAAUAUUGCACAAUGGGCGGAAGCCUGAUGCAGCAACGCCGCGUGCGGGAUGACGGCCUUCGGGUUGUAAACCGCUUUCGCCUGUGACGAAGCGUGAGUGACGGUAAUGGGUAAAGAAGCACCGGCUAACUCCGUG